GAUUUCUGGUUCGAUGCGUUUGGCCCUCUCGGAGCAAUCCGGCGUGCGUGCCGAUGCGCGUCUGCCAUCCCUUGUAGAGAACGUUUCUACCCUUCACUGGGCCGGAUUCGCAAUCUACAUCUUUUACUUUGAAAAAAUUAGAGUGUUUAAAGCAGGCUUACGCUAUGAAUACAUUAGCAUGGAAUAAUAAUUUAGGACUUCGGUUCUAUUUUGUUGGUUUCUAGGACUGAGGUAAUGAUUGAUAGGGAUAGUUGGGGGUGCUAGUAUUCCGCGGCCAGAGGUGAAAUACUUGGAUUCGUGGAAGACUAACUACUGCGAAAGCAUU
Molecule: ribosomal RNA, 325 nt
Filed under: Thaumatomonas sp.
Lineage: Eukaryota; Cercozoa; Imbricatea; Thaumatomonadida; Thaumatomastigidae
Description: SSU rRNA
Rfam family: Eukaryotic small subunit ribosomal RNA (bases 107-325)
Source: RNAcentral